This 245-nucleotide unclassified non-coding RNA is filed under the name Rhizophlyctis rosea. RNAcentral describes it as "partial internal transcribed spacer 2". The record is from RNAcentral. Lineage: Eukaryota; Fungi; Chytridiomycota; Chytridiomycetes; Rhizophlyctidales; Rhizophlyctidaceae.
AAAUCUUCAACUUCUAUGUUUGAUGGCUUUCGGGCCAAGAAACAUAAAAGGUGAGAUCUGGGUCGUUUGCCUUUGCGGCAAUGACUUUAAUUGCAACGUCUUAGAACCAAUGACUGAAAUGUCUUGGGCAAACGCAUGAAUGAGGCAACUCACAAGUACGUCUGUUCCUUUUGACAGGGAUGUUUUGGUGCUCAGACUCAACUGAUUAACCAAAGUUGGGUUGCGGUAGCAGCUUUUCUUUGAAC